UGGCAGGAAGAGGACUUGAACCUCUGUAUACGGGACUACAAUCCGCCGCCUAGGCCCUCGGCCAUCCUACC
RNAcentral lists this transfer RNA (71 nucleotides) under Metynnis hypsauchen. Its description in RNAcentral is "tRNA-Tyr". Lineage: Eukaryota; Metazoa; Chordata; Actinopteri; Characiformes; Serrasalmidae. The record is from RNAcentral.